AUUGAACGCUGGCGGCAGGCCUAACACAUGCAAGUCGAGCGGAUCGGCGGACGGGUGCGUGAUGCCUAUGAAUGUGCCUGUUAGUGGGGGAUAACGUCAGGAAACGGGCGCUAAUACCGCAUACUCUCAGCUGAGGCUGGGUCGGAUUAGCUAGUGGGUGGGGUAAAGGCCUACCAAGGCGACGAUCCGUAACUGGUCUGAGAGGAUGAUCAGUCACACCGGAACUGAGACACGGUCCAGACUCCUACGGGAGGCAGCAGUGGGGAAUAUUGGACAAUGGGCGAAAGCCUGAUCCAGCCAUGCCGCGUGAGUGAAGAAGGUCUUCGGAUUGUAAAGUACUUUAAGUUGGGAGGCGUUACUAACAGAAUAAGCACCGGCUAACUCCGUGCCAGCAGCCGCGGUAAUAC
This 407-nucleotide ribosomal RNA is filed under the name uncultured bacterium. RNAcentral describes it as "partial 16S ribosomal RNA". It matches the Rfam family "Bacterial small subunit ribosomal RNA", at positions 30 to 526 of the family's 1533-position model. The record is from RNAcentral.